ACAAGCCAAUGAUUAUAUAGUUAUCCCUGUCUGACCCUCACUGUAGACCUUUGGUACAAUGAGGCUUGU
Molecule: small nucleolar RNA, 69 nt
Organism: Paramormyrops kingsleyae
Lineage: Eukaryota; Metazoa; Chordata; Actinopteri; Osteoglossiformes; Mormyridae
Product: small nucleolar RNA R38
Source: RefSeq, a predicted model, not a curated record